This 468-nucleotide ribosomal RNA is filed under the name uncultured bacterium. Its description in RNAcentral is "partial 16S ribosomal RNA". It matches the Rfam family "Bacterial small subunit ribosomal RNA", at positions 28 to 507 of the family's 1533-position model. The record is from RNAcentral.
GACGAACGCUGGCGGCGUGCUUAACACAUGCAAGUCGAACGGAAAGGCCCUGCUUUUGUGGGGUGCUCGAGUGGCGAACGGGUGAGUAACACGUGAGUAACCUUCCCUUGACUUUGGGAUAACUUCAGGAAACUGGUGCUAAUACCGGAUAGGAGCUCCUGCUGCAUGGUGGGGGUUGGAAAGUUUCGGCGGUUGGGGAUGGACUCGCGGCUUAUCAGCUUGUUGGUGGGGUAGUGGCUUACCAAGGCUUUGACGGGUAGCCGGCCUGGGAGGGUGACCGGCCACAUUGGGACUGAGAUACGGCCCAGACUCCUACGGGAGGCAGCAGUGGGGAAUAUUGCACAAUGGGCGGAAGCCUGAUGCAGCAACGCCGCGUGCGGGAUGACGGCCUUCGGGUUGUAAACCGCUUUCGCCUGUGACGAAGCGUGAGUGACGGUAAUGGGUAAAGAAGCACCGGCUAACUACGUG